Molecule: ribosomal RNA, 253 nt
Filed under: uncultured bacterium
Lineage: Bacteria
Description: partial 16S ribosomal RNA
Rfam family: Bacterial small subunit ribosomal RNA
Source: RNAcentral
UACGUAGGGGGAAAGCGUUGUCCGGAUUUAUUGGGCGUAAAGAGCGUGUAGGCGGCCGUACAGGUCAGCUGUGAAAACUCGAGGCUCAACCUCGAGACGUCGGUUGAAACCGUACGGCUAGAGUCCGGAAGAGGAGAGUGGAAUUCCCGGUGUAGCGGUGAAAUGCGCAGAUAUCGGGAAGAACACCCGUGGCGAAGGCGGCUCUCUGGGACGGUACUGACGCUGAGACGCGAAAGCGUGGGGAGCGAACAGG